AACGCUAGCUACAGGCUUAACACAUGCAAGUCGAGGGGCAGCAUUAGGUAGCAAUACUGAGAUGGCGACCGGCGCACGGGUGCGUAACGCGUAUCCAACCUUCCCGUUACUCUUGGAUAGCCUUCCGAAAGGGAGAUUAAUACAAGAUGGUAUUCAAAUUCCGCAUGUUAUUUGAAUUAAAGAUUUAUCGGUAACGGAUGGGGAUGCGUGACAUUAGGUAGAUGGCGGGGUAACGGCCCACCAUGCCCACGAUGUCUAGGGGUUCUGAGAGGAAGGUCCCCCACACUGGAACUGAGACACGGUCCAGACUCCUAUGGGAGGCAGCAGUGAGGAAUAUUGGUCAAUGGCCGGAAGGCUGAACCAGCCAAGUAGCGUGAAGGAUGAAGGUUCUAUGGAUUGUAAACUUCUUUUAUACGGGAAUAAAACCACCUACGUGUAGGUGCUUGUAUGUACCGUAUGAAUAAGCAUCGGCUAACUCCGUGCCAGCAGCCGCGGUAAUACGGAGGAUGCGAGCGUUAUCCGGAUUUAUUGGGUUUAAAGGGAGCGUAGACGGGAUGUUAAGUCAGUUGUGAAAGGCUGCGGCUCAACCGCAGCACUGCAGUUGAUACUGGCGUCCUUGAGUGCGGUUGAGGUAUGUGGAAUUCGUGGUGUAGCGGUGAAAUGCUUAGAUAUCACGAAGAACUCCGAUUG
Molecule: ribosomal RNA, 690 nt
Filed under: uncultured Bacteroidales bacterium
Lineage: Bacteria; Pseudomonadati; Bacteroidota; Bacteroidia; Bacteroidales
Description: bacterial SSU rRNA
Rfam family: Bacterial small subunit ribosomal RNA
Source: RNAcentral